RNAcentral lists this ribosomal RNA (159 nucleotides) under Triticum aestivum (bread wheat). RNAcentral describes it as "partial small subunit ribosomal RNA". The record is from RNAcentral. Lineage: Eukaryota; Viridiplantae; Streptophyta; Magnoliopsida; Poales; Poaceae.
AUGGCGGUGAUGGACACGGCGUUCAAGGCGCUGACGGCGGGGCUGGGCGUGGCGACGCUCUACCUGGCCGGCUCCUUCUCCUUCAACGUCUACCGCGGCCUCGCCUGGCACUCCGAGCAAUCCAAGCUAGAAAAAGAAAAUGAGAAGAGCCAAGAUUGA